AGAAGCCAGAAGGCCGGGGCGGAGUGGGUUGUCCAAGAGCUUGUCUUGUCCUCUUGCCCUGGCCACAGCCGGGAAGCCCUGGGCAGGCGCCCGUGGAUAGCUGGCACGCUCAGCCUUUGGUGGAGAACUGAGAAAGUCUGAAGCAGGAAGGUGGAAAAACAUUUCGUGCUCAGGGAGGAAACGUCUUCACCCCGGUUUACAGGAUGACACGUCAGCAGGGCCCUCACCAGAUGCUGGCCCCUUGAUCUCAGACUUCCCGGCCUCCUGCGCUGCCAGCCUAAUACACUUCUCUUCGUUGUAAAUUACUCAGUCUGUGAUAUUCUGUGAUAGCAACAGAAAACAGACGAAGACGCAGGCCAAGAUUCCUUGGUGGUCCACAGACCCUGGAGUAAGAAUCUCUGCCCUAGGGGAUGACAGGACUGUAAAAGGAAGGGACCUGGGUCCCUGAAUCACACGGGGGAAGUCACCUGCUGAAUCAGAACGCCUCAACAGCUAGCUAGCCAAGAAAUAAACGGAGAGCGUGGCAACCCA
Homo sapiens (human) is the source of this 531-nucleotide long non-coding RNA. RefSeq lists it as uncharacterized. The transcript has 4 exons. The record is from RefSeq and is a predicted model, not a curated record. Lineage: Eukaryota; Metazoa; Chordata; Mammalia; Primates; Hominidae.